Molecule: long non-coding RNA, 555 nt
Filed under: Ananas comosus (pineapple)
Lineage: Eukaryota; Viridiplantae; Streptophyta; Magnoliopsida; Poales; Bromeliaceae
Description: long non-coding RNA (ACOM_LNC036457)
Source: RNAcentral
UUCUACUUAUAGUCAACACCCCAAUUGUAGCAUACACUAUUCACUUCAGGCAGUACGAAAUCUGAUAUCUUUCGCCGGAGCCCUCUGAAUAUCCGUUUGAGCUGAAAUUUGACAGCCAUGUUCGGUUUUCCUUAACUUAACGAAAGAAAUUUUAAUCUUUCAGUUUCGACCCCGUUUGGUCACCGAAAGCUGUACCGAACUGUAAUCUUUACCAGAUAACUGUCGGAUUUUAUUUUUCACCUUCCGGGUGUCAGAAUGACAUGAAACUUUAAAUCUAGCCUCAUAAAAAAAAUUCUGACAUAUUCCCAGAUUUUCGAAAUUUUCUGACACUGUGCAUUUUCUGCUAAAAUAACAGCCUCAAUUCACACAGAAAAUUCAAAAUCUUCUAUUCUCGCUCUGAUUUCCGCACGAGCUGUUUCCGACUUAUAUUUUACUUCUAUAAGUCCAAUAAAAAUAGUAUCUCACACUAUUUUUAUUUAUUUUUAUUCUUAUUUUAAAAUCCGGUAUGCUACAGACCUCUCUCCCAGUGGUGUCAGUUCCGAAACGCACCGCUUG